Mycetomoellerius zeteki is the source of this 745-nucleotide long non-coding RNA. RefSeq lists it as uncharacterized. The transcript is spliced from 3 exons. Lineage: Eukaryota; Metazoa; Arthropoda; Insecta; Hymenoptera; Formicidae. The record is from RefSeq and is a predicted model, not a curated record.
UCGACCAAACUUCGAUUAAUUUAAUCGUUGAUUAAAGUGUUGCCAACACUGACAAAUGAAACAUUUCGUACUAGGAACAGAGAGGGAAAUUUCUUGUUCUUUUCUAUAACCUCAAUUUAUGUAGUACUCUCAGACUGUCGGACGAGAACCUAAAAUAAAUGUAAAUGUAAAUAAAUAAAUGUAAAAUAAAUAUACAUAUAAAUGUAAAUGUAUGUUUUAUUAGAGAAAUAAAGAUCGUGUACAGAAGCGGUGAAUAAGAUUAAGUGGUACAAUAUGCAAGCAAAUAUGCAACGAGCAAAAAAGUUUACUACUUCUGAAAAGAAUGAUUUAUUAGAUAUCAUUUUUUUAUAUUGUCAUGUACUUGAAAAUAAAGUAACCGAUAACUAAUCUAAAGAAAGAUGAAGCAUGGACCAAUAUUACAAUUGAAUAUAACAAAAAUAGAACAACUAUACGAUCAGAAAAAAAUUUACGACUUUGUUGGGAUAACAUUAAAAGAGAUACAAGAAAAUACUAUGCAACAUUAAAACGCGAAACUUAUAAAACAGGUGGAGGAGUAGUCACUUUAGAAAAAAAUCCUAUAUUCGAGCGAGCGAAGGAAAUUUUAGGUGAUACAACAGUAUCAGGCUUAGCUAAUCCUUUUGAUUCUGAUUAUGUUGACACUAUCGGUACUGUUGAUAACAAAUUACAAAAGAACACUGUUAUUGACCUACAAGAUGAAGAUAAUGAAAAUGAUCCACAAGAGAUA